GCCCCAACAGCUAGCCCAACCCCCAAAACCCAACAACCAACAUUAAUACCCCCAAAACCCGGUAAGUGAACUAACAAACCAUUUUUCCCCCUGAGUAUCUGAGAAAGAAAAGGAUCCUAGGCGCCAUAGAAAGAGUACCGCAAAGGGAAAAGCUGAAAGGAGAAACUGAAACAAAUC
This 177-nucleotide ribosomal RNA is filed under the name Amblygobius stethophthalmus (freckled goby). RNAcentral describes it as "partial 16S ribosomal RNA". Lineage: Eukaryota; Metazoa; Chordata; Actinopteri; Gobiiformes; Gobiidae. The record is from RNAcentral.